This 474-nucleotide ribosomal RNA is filed under the name uncultured bacterium. Its description in RNAcentral is "bacterial SSU rRNA". It matches the Rfam family "Bacterial small subunit ribosomal RNA", at positions 28 to 526 of the family's 1533-position model. The record is from RNAcentral.
GAUGAACGCUGGCGGCGUGCCUAACACAUGCAAGUCGAGCGCGGGUAGCAAUACUCGAGCGGCGGACGGGUGAGUAACACAUGGGCAACCUGCCUUACACUGGGGGAUAACAGUGAGAAAUCACUGCUAAUACCGCAUAAGCUUACACUGUCGCAUGGCAGGGUGAGAAAAGAUUUAUCGGUGUAAGAGGGGCCCGUGUCCAAUUAGCUAGUUGGUGAGGUAACGGCCCACCAAGGCAACGAUUGGUAGCCGAUCUGAGAGGAUAAUCGGCCACAUUGGAACUGAGACACGGUCCAGACUCCUACGGGAGGCAGCAGUGGGGAAUAUUGCACAAUGGGCGCAAGCCUGAUGCAGCAACGCCGCGUGAAGGAUGAAGGUUUUCGGAUUGCAAACUUCUAUCGACAGGGACGAAGAACGUGACGGUACCUGAGUAAGAAGCCCCGGCUAACUACGUGCCAGCAGCCGCAGUAAAAC